GUAGGGGGCAGCAGCUGCUUAUUUUUGAGAAGGAUUCAUGAAACUAUGAAAUCUUACAGCUGAAGUGGGUUUAUGCAAAUUCACCCUGUUAUUAAAAAAAGCCUCUUGCAGUUUGAAGUUUGUGUCACAAAACUGAAUCAAAGAGCAUGAUGAUUGGGCUGAGGGUCACUCAGUACUACAUCUUUGUUAUAAUGUUAACCAAAGGUGUCAGCAGUGAUGAGAUCAGACUGGACCAGUCACCUGCUGUUGUAAAGAGACCUGGAGAAACUGUGAAGAUCUCCUGUAAGAUAAAUGGAUAUUCAAUGACAAGCAACUACAUACACUGGAUCAGACAGAAACCAGGGAAAGCUCUGGAAUGGCUUGGCUGGAUGGAUACAGGCAAUAAUGAUGCAACACAUGCAGAGUCUGUGAAGAACCAGCUCACUUUAACAGAAGACGUCUCAGCAAGCACACAGUACUUAGAGGCCAAGAGUCUGAGGACAGAGGACACUGCGGUUUAUUACUGUGCCUGAAGUUCUACAGUGACUGGAGCUGAGGAAGCAGCUGUACAAAAACCAGACACAUUGUAACUGAACUAACUGAAGUUGCUUAACUUAUAAUUGUAACACAGAUGAACACAGUUUGUAUCUAUUUACUGCUCCAAUUAUCUAUAAAUAUACCUGGAUAUAACCCUAAAAUGGGCGUGGCCUAAACUAAUUAUCAGGAAUGAAAAUCUAGAUAAACCCUGUUUCUAUGCUCCUGGAAACACUUGAAAAAGCCACAGGUAGAGAUGGCAGCUCUGUCAGCAUGCUGUGUGACAUCCCAUUCCCAAUACACACUGUAAUACACUCAUCACUCAAAAAGUGCUCAUUGCAUAAAAAGUUGUUUACAAUGGCUACUGUAUGUAAUCUCAAACAAGUGGUGACACAACCCACAAAAAUUGCUAUGGAUAAUACAUCUAAAUCAACAUGCAUAGAUCAUAUUUUUACUAAUGUUCCUGAUUUAUGUUCACAAGCUGUUUCUGUGGGGGUAGGAUGUAGUGAUCAUAACCUGAUAGCAAUUUCAAUAAUGAUGAAAAUUCCUAAAUCUGGUGGAAGGAUCAUGUAUCGUAGAUCAUUUAAAAACUUUAAUCCCAGAUUGUUUGUUGAUGAGGUCAAUAACUCAAAUUGGUCUGCAGUUCUUCAGGAGGGGGAUGUAAAUGCUUCUCUUAACAUUUUUAUGGACACUUUUAGUAAAAUAGUUGAUAAAUAUGCACCUCUCCGGAAAAGAUCUAUAAAAAUCAACAGUGCUCCAUGGUUAGAUGAAGAGCUAAUGUCCCUCAUGAGGCAAAGGGACAAUGUCAAAGAUAUGGCCUUCAAAAUCAAAAUGUGAUGUAGACAGAGUACAUUAUCGCAAGUUGAGAAACAAAGCUACAAACUUAAAUAACAUAAAAAAGAAAGCAUAUUAUGGACAAAAAAUCUCAAAUUCUAGUAAUGAUAGCAAACAAUUGUGGAAAGUAUUACAGGAAUUGAUGUAUAAAAAAUCAAAUAAU
Tachysurus fulvidraco (yellow catfish) is the source of this 1510-nucleotide non-coding RNA. The record is from the annotation of a RefSeq genome assembly. Lineage: Eukaryota; Metazoa; Chordata; Actinopteri; Siluriformes; Bagridae.